AUGAAGGUUUUCGGAUCGUAAAACUCUGUUGUCAGGGAAGAACAAGUGCGAGAGUAACUGCUCGCACCUUGACGGUACCUGACCAGAAAGCCACGGCUAACUACGUGCCAGCAGCCGCGGUAAUACGUAGGUGGCAAGCGUUGUCCGGAAUUAUUGGGCGUAAAGCGCGCGCAGGCGGUUUCUUAAGUCUGAUGUGAAAGCCCCCGGCUCAACCGGGGAGGGUCAUUGGAAACUGGGAAACUUGAGUGCAGAAGAGGAGAGUGGAAUUCCACGUGUAGCGGUGAAAUGCGUAGAGAUGUGGAGGAACACCAGUGGCGAAGGCGACUCUCUGGUCUGUAACUGACGCUGAGGCGCGAAAGCGUGGGGAGCGAACAGGAUUAGAUACCCUGGUAGUCCACGCCGUAAACGAUGAGUGCUAAGUGUUAGAGGGUUUCCGCCCUUUAGUGCUGCAGCUAACGCAUUAAGCACUCCGCCUGGGGAGUACGGUCGCAAGACUGAAACUCAAAGGAAUUGACGGGGGCCCGCACAAGCGGUGGAGCAUGUGGUUUAAUUCGAAGCAACGCGAAGAACCUUACCAGGUCUUGACAUCCUUUGCCACUUCUAGAGAUAGAAGGUUCCCCUUCGGGGGACAAAGUGACAGGUGGUGCAUGGUUGUCGUCAGCUCGUGUCGUGAGAUGUUGGGUUAAGUCCCGCAACGAGCGCAACCCUUGAUCUUAGUUGCCAGCAUUCAGUUGGGCACUCUAAGGUGACUGCCGGUGACAAACCGGAGGAAGGUGGGGAUGACGUCAAAUCAUCAUGCCCCUUAUGACCUGGGCUACACACGUGCUACAAUGGAUGGUACAAAGGGCUGCGAGACCGCGAGGUUUAGCCAAUCCCAUAAAACCAUUCUCAGUUCGGAUUGCAGGCUGCAACUCGCCUGCAUGAAGCUGGAAUAGAUAGUAAUCGCGGAUCAGCAUGCCGCGGUGAAUACGUUCCCGGGCCUUGUACACACCGCCCGUCACACCACGAGAGUUU
This 1014-nucleotide ribosomal RNA is filed under the name Bacillus sp. (in: firmicutes). RNAcentral's name for it is "bacterial SSU rRNA". It matches the Rfam family "Bacterial small subunit ribosomal RNA", at positions 408 to 1413 of the family's 1533-position model. Lineage: Bacteria; Bacillati; Bacillota; Bacilli; Caryophanales; Bacillaceae. The record is from RNAcentral.